RNAcentral lists this ribosomal RNA (2069 nucleotides) under Candidatus Omnitrophota bacterium. Its description in RNAcentral is "partial 23S ribosomal RNA". It matches the Rfam family "Bacterial large subunit ribosomal RNA", at positions 2000 to 2803 of the family's 2925-position model. Lineage: Bacteria; Pseudomonadati; Candidatus Omnitrophota. The record is from RNAcentral.
UGUAGCAACAGAGCCGCUGUCUCAACGAGUGAGUCGGCGAAAUUGUAGUAUCGGUGAAGAUGCCGGUUACCUGCAUCAAGACGAAAAGACCCCGGAACCUUUACUGUACUCUGGUACUGGAUUUUGAUCCUGUAUGUGUAGCAUAGGUGGGACGCUUUGAAGCCUGGGCGCUAGCUUGGGCUGAGCGGAAAUGUGAAAUACCACCCUUAUUGUAUUAGGAUUCUAACCUGCGGCCCUAUAUCGGGCCGAGGGACAAUGCCAGACGGGCAGUUUGACUGGGGCGGUUUCCUCAAGAAUAAGGGGACUAUGAUGGGAGACCAUCAUAAGCAAAUUUAGCUGUAUGCUGGGAAAUCUGAGCAUGUCCGUCUACUUAAAGAGAUUUAAGUGAAAAUGGCGGGACGCAGAUAAUCAGCAGGGAAGACCCAUGCUUUCUUGCGAAAGCAAGAAUGGGUCCCCUCAACGACUACACGCUGAACCCCCAUGCUUUCUUGCGAAAGCAAGAAUGGGGGGUGAUAUAGUCUGAACUUCCAGGCGACUGGAAGCCCUAUAGAAGUAGAGGGAGUCUAGCCUCCUUAACACAGGGAGUGGUGAUGCGAUCAAAUGAUAUCGAAAAGUAUAAGAGCAGUUUAGCGCUGAACGCUGAGCAGAAAGAAGUGCUUGUGGGUACUCUUUUGGGAGACGCGACAUUGGAAACCCAAAACAAAGGGAAGACCUACAGGAUCAAGAUAGAGCACGGUGUCAGCCAGAAAGCUUAUACAGAACAUCUUUACGGUAUCUUUAAAGACUGGGUGCUUACCCAGCCUAAAGUUCGACAAGUGACGCUAUCAAACGGCAAAACCUAUGGCAAGAUAGGAUUUUCGACAUUGAGCCAUGGAUCGCUGAGAUUUUACGCGCAUCAAUUUUAUCCGCGCGGCAAAAAGAUAGUGCCAAAACUUAUCGAGCGGUGGCUGACGCCCAAAGCGAUAGCGUAUUGGUUCAUGGAUGAUGGGUCAGUAAAGUCCAAGGAGUCCAAGGGAGUGAUUUUCAAUACGCAUGGAUAUCGAAUAGAAGAUGUGGCAAGGCUUGUAGAGGUAUUGAAGAACAAGUUCUUGCUGGAAGCGAAAGUUAGGAAACAGAAAGAAGGAUAUCAGAUCUAUGUUUCAGGCAAUAGUUAUGAGAAUUUCAAGAAUUUGAUCACAUCAUAUAUAUUGCCGGAGAUGAAGUAUAAAAUACCAGAGUCUAGACGAACACAUUUGCCUAAAUUGUAACGGAGGUGUACAAAGGUUCCCUCAGUGCGGACGGCAAUCGCACGCUGAGCGCAAAAGCAAAUGGGAGCUUAACUGUGAGGCCAACAAGCCGAGCAGGUACGAAAGUAGGUUUUAGUGAUCCGGUGGUUGGCGUGUGGAAGCGCCAUCGCUCAACGGAUAAAAGGUACUCCGGGGAUAACAGGCUGAUUUCCUCCAAGAGUUCACAUCGACGAGGAAGUUUGGCACCUCGAUGUCGGCUCAUCACAUCCUGGGGCUGGAGAAGGUCCCAAGGGUCCGGCUGUUCGCCGGUUAAAGUGGUACGUGAGCUGGGUUCAGAACGUAAAUAACAUUGCGUUCUACCGCAGAAAUGCGGUAUAAUAAAUCUGACUUAUAUCGGUGAAACCCUAAUUGAUUUCCGAACUUUCAAAAGGGCAAUACCGAGGGAAGAUCAGAUUGGUGUCAAGCGAAGAAAUUGCUUAUUACGGCAGAGUUUUCUGUAAUAGCUUCGCUUGAAUCUACAAGCCAAUCUGUAUCCCUGUAGAGACUGAGGCUUAGGCCGAGAUAGCUCCGAAAGGAACUAUAAUACGUCAGCCCCUCCUCAAAGCAAGCGAGAGGGUGAAGAUAUAGUCCAUGCCAUUAGUAAUAAUGGAAUAACAUGCGUGAGACAGUUCGGUCUCUAUCUGAUGCAGGCGCAGGAUAUUUGUGGGGCCCUGUCCCUAGUACGAGAGGACCGGGACAGACAAACCAACGGUGUUCCAGUUAUCACGCCAGUGGUAUUUGCUGGGUAGCCGCGUUCGGAAAGGAUAAACGCUGAAGGCAUCUAAGCGUGAAGCCUACCCCAAG